UAUUGGACAAUGGGCGAAAGCCUGAUCCAGCCAUGCCGCGUGAGUGAUGAAGGCCCUAGGGUUGUAAAGCUCUUUUAACGGGGAAGAUAAUGACGGUACCCGUAGAAUAAGCCCCGGCUAACUUCGUGCCAGCAGCCGCGGUAAUACGAAGGGGGCUAGCGUUGCUCGGAAUCACUGGGCGUAAAGCGCACGUAGGCGGACUCUUAAGUCAAAGGUGAAAUCCUGGAGCUCAACUCCAGAACUGCCUUCGAUACUGGGAGUCUCGAGUUCGGGAGAGGUGAGUGGAACUGCGAGUGUAGAGGUGAAAUUCGUAGAUAUUCGCAAGAACACCAGUGGCGAAGGCGGCUCACUGGCCCGAUACUGACGCUGAGGUGCGAAAGCGUGGGGAGCAAACAGG
This 397-nucleotide ribosomal RNA is filed under the name uncultured bacterium. RNAcentral describes it as "bacterial SSU rRNA". It matches the Rfam family "Bacterial small subunit ribosomal RNA", at positions 362 to 776 of the family's 1533-position model. The record is from RNAcentral.